Molecule: small RNA, 30 nt
Filed under: Bombyx mori (domestic silkworm)
Lineage: Eukaryota; Metazoa; Arthropoda; Insecta; Lepidoptera; Bombycidae
Description: ovarian small RNA-8448
Source: RNAcentral
UGCAAAGGUUAUUGGAUCAGAUGGAUCCGU